UUAAGCGACUAAGCGUACACGGUGGAUGCCCUGGCAGUCAGAGGCGAUGAAGGACGUGCUAAUCUGCGAUAAGCGUCGGUAAGGUGAUAUGAACCGUUAUAACCGGCGAUUUCCGAAUGGGGAAACCCAGUGUGUUUCGACACACUAUCAUUAACUGAAUCCAUAGGUUAAUGAGGCGAACCGGGGGAACUGAAACAUCUAAGUACCCCGAGGAAAAGAAAUCAACCGAGAUUCCCCCAGUAGCGGCGAGCGAACGGGGAGCAGCCCAGAGCCUGAAUCAGUGUGUGUGUUAGUGGAAGCGUCUGGAAAGGCACGCGAUACAGGGUGACAGCCCCGUACACAGAAAUGCACAUGCUGUGAGCUCGAUGAGUAGGGCGGGACACGUGGUAUCCUGUCUGAAUAUGGGGGGACCAUCCUCCAAGGCUAAAUACUCCUGACUGACCGAUAGUGAACCAGUACCGUGAGGGAAAGGCGAAAAGAACCCCGGCGAGGGGAGUGAAAAAGAACCUGAAACCGUGUACGUACAAGCAGUGGGAGCACGCUUAGGCGUGUGACUGCGUACCUUUUGUAUAAUGGGUCAGCGACUUAUAUUCUGUAGCAAGGUUAACCGAAUAGGGGAGCCGAAGGGAAACCGAGUCUUAACUGGGCGUUAAGUUGCAGGGUAUAGACCCGAAACCCGGUGAUCUAGCCAUGGGCAGGUUGAAGGUUGGGUAACACUAACUGGAGGACCGAACCGACUAAUGUUGAAAAAUUAGCGGAUGACUUGUGGCUGGGGGUGAAAGGCCAAUCAAACCGGGAGAUAGCUGGUUCUCCCCGAAAGCUAUUUAGGUAGCGCCUCGUGAAUUCAUCUCCGGGGGUAGAGCACUGUUUCGGCAAGGGGGUCAUCCCGACUUACCAACCCGAUGCAAACUGCGAAUACCGGAGAAUGUUAUCACGGGAGACACACGGCGGGUGCUAACGUCCGUCGUGAAGAGGGAAACAACCCAGACCGCCAGCUAAGGUCCCAAAGUCAUGGUUAAGUGGGAAACGAUGUGGGAAGGCCCAGACAGCCAGGAUGUUGGCUUAGAAGCAGCCAUCAUUUAAAGAAAGCGUAAUAGCUCACUGGUCGAGUCGGCCUGCGCGGAAGAUGUAACGGGGCUAAACCAUGCACCGAAGCUGCGGCAGCGACGCUGAUGCGUUGUUGGGUAGGGGAGCGUUCUGUAAGCCUGCGAAGGUGUGCUGUGAGGCAUGCUGGAGGUAUCAGAAGUGCGAAUGCUGACAUAAGUAACGAUAAAGCGGGUGAAAAGCCCGCUCGCCGGAAGACCAAGGGUUCCUGUCCAACGUUAAUCGGGGCAGGGUGAGUCGACCCCUAAGGCGAGGCCGAAAGGCGUAGUCGAUGGGAAACAGGUUAAUAUUCCUGUACUUGGUGUUACUGCGAAGGGGGGACGGAGAAGGCUAUGUUGGCCGGGCGACGGUUGUCCCGGUUUAAGCGUGUAGGCUGGUUUUCCAGGCAAAUCCGGAAAAUCAAGGCUGAGGCGUGAUGACGAGGCACUACGGUGCUGAAGCAACAAAUGCCCUGCUUCCAGGAAAAGCCUCUAAGCAUCAGGUAACAUCAAAUCGUACCCCAAACCGACACAGGUGGUCAGGUAGAGAAUACCAAGGCGCUUGAGAGAACUCGGGUGAAGGAACUAGGCAAAAUGGUGCCGUAACUUCGGGAGAAGGCACGCUGAUACGUAGGUGAAGUCCCUCGCGGAUGGAGCUGAAAUCAGUCGAAGAUACCAGCUGGCUGCAACUGUUUAUUAAAAACACAGCACUGUGCAAACACGAAAGUGGACGUAUACGGUGUGACGCCUGCCCGGUGCCGGAAGGUUAAUUGAUGGGAUCAGCGCAAGCGAAGCUCUUGAUCGAAGCCCCGGUAAACGGCGGCCGUAACUAUAACGGUCCUAAGGUAGCGAAAUUCCUUGUCGGGUAAGUUCCGACCUGCACGAAUGGCGUAAUGAUGGCCAGGCUGUCUCCACCCGAGACUCAGUGAAAUUGAACUCGCUGUGAAGAUGCAGUGUACCCGCGGCAAGACGGAAAGACCCCGUGAACCUUUACUAUAGCUUGACACUGAACAUUGAGCCUUGAUGUGUAGGAUAGGUGGGAGGCUUUGAAGUGUGGACGCCAGUCUGCAUGGAGCCGACCUUGAAAUACCACCCUUUAAUGUUUGAUGUUCUAACGUUGACCCGUAAUCCGGGUUGCGGACAGUGUCUGGUGGGUAGUUUGACUGGGGCGGUCUCCUCCUAAAGAGUAACGGAGGAGCACGAAGGUUGGCUAAUCCUGGUCGGACAUCAGGAGGUUAGUGCAAUGGCAUAAGCCAGCUUGACUGCGAGCGUGACGGCGCGAGCAGGUGCGAAAGCAGGUCAUAGUGAUCCGGUGGUUCUGAAUGGAAGGGCCAUCGCUCAACGGAUAAAAGGUACUCCGGGGAUAACAGGCUGAUACCGCCCAAGAGUUCAUAUCGACGGCGGUGUUUGGCACCUCGAUGUCGGCUCAUCACAUCCUGGGGCUGAAGUAGGUCCCAAGGGUAUGGCUGUUCGCCAUUUAAAGUGGUACGCGAGCUGGGUUUAGAACGUCGUGAGACAGUUCGGUCCCUAUCUGCCGUGGGCGCUGGAGAAUUGAGGGGGGCUGCUCCUAGUACGAGAGGACCGGAGUGGACGCAUCACUGGUGUUCGGGUUGUCAUGCCAAUGGCACUGCCCGGUAGCUAAAUGCGGAAGAGAUAAGUGCUGAAAGCAUCUAAGCACGAAACUUGCCCCGAGAUGAGUUCUCCCUGACUCCUUGAGAGUCCUGAAGGAACGUUGAAGACGACGACGUUGAUAGGCCGGGUGUGUAAGCGCAGCGAUGCGUUGAGCUAACCGGUACUAAUGAACCGUGAGGCUUAACCUU
RNAcentral lists this ribosomal RNA (2902 nucleotides) under Escherichia coli DEC10E. RNAcentral's name for it is "bacterial LSU rRNA". It matches the Rfam family "Bacterial large subunit ribosomal RNA". The record is from RNAcentral. Lineage: Bacteria; Pseudomonadati; Pseudomonadota; Gammaproteobacteria; Enterobacterales; Enterobacteriaceae.